CCCACACACGGAGCAGGUAGGAGAAUGAUCCCACAUUCUAUCAACACGGGGAAGACGGCACGCCCAACGGUGAUGUAAUGGAGAGAGCCUACUCCCUGGGGGAGGCCGGGAAGAGCCCCCCGUGAGAAGAGGACCCGGGAGCAGAGAACCAGAGCGGGCCAGCCGUGUCCACGGCCGAUGGAAGGCAGGCCACGCCCACUAGAGCCAGCGGGUGGGGCAGGGAGGGAGGACAGGGAGGAGCUGGGGUGUAGAGGUCAGCCGGGACCGCGUCCUGGGGCGUCUUCGCAGGGAGACGCCUGGGUGUCACUCAGAGAGUGAUGGGCGGCCUUAGCAAAGGAGCACGGGACCCGAUUUGCAUCCAGAAUGCGGCGGCUGGCUCAGCGUGGAAGGACCGGAGAGAAGCCAGCCAGGCCGUGGGGCGUGGGGAGCUCAGGCCUCCAGGGAUGAGAAAGGCCAGGAAUCAGGAUGUUCAGUUCAUGGCCCACCCAGGGAGGCCCAGGGAAGAAUCUGGCACUACCCAUCAAAAUCAAGAGACAGAUCCACGCUCUUAGGAGUGAAGACAGUCAUCACAAUGGCACCUGCGUACCAGAGCCCUGCAGAUACAGCCCCCGAGAGAUGGAACCAGGAGGUGCCCCCCGUUCGCCAUGGCAACAUCUGUUUGCGGACAAAACAUAUCAGGAAGCACAGAAAAAAUGGAAACAGCUAUUAACGGGUGGAUAUGGAGCCUAUGACGAUAAUUUCAAAGUUUUGUUAUCUAGGAACGUUAGGCAAGCACGUGGUUUUAAAAAUUAAUGAAAGCUAAACCGUUUGCAGCAAAAAAAAAAAAAAAAAAAAGGAGCAGCCCCCCUGCCCUGCACGUCCAAAACGCCCGCCCCCAACUACAGAUUUUUUUUGGGUAUUUGUCUCCAAUUUUCUAAAUAACCGAUUCACACGGGUACUUCUCGAUUUCUGACUUUUAACUUCUGACCUUAGAAGAUGAGACUGUGUCUUCUGCGCACACGCAUAUAUCCUCCCCUCCAUCUUCCGAACAUAGCUACGUGAUCAUUUUUUUGUUAAUCAAACUUGUGGGUGCCUGGGUGGCUCAGUUGGUUAAGUCUCUGUCUU
Mustela erminea (ermine) is the source of this 1104-nucleotide long non-coding RNA. RefSeq lists it as uncharacterized. The record is from RefSeq and is a predicted model, not a curated record. The transcript has 3 exons. NCBI's taxonomy places the organism in Eukaryota, Metazoa, Chordata, Mammalia, Carnivora, Mustelidae.